RNAcentral lists this ribosomal RNA (301 nucleotides) under uncultured bacterium. Its description in RNAcentral is "partial 16S ribosomal RNA". It matches the Rfam family "Bacterial small subunit ribosomal RNA", at positions 509 to 807 of the family's 1533-position model. The record is from RNAcentral.
CAGUCGCCGCGGUAAUACGUAGGUGGCAAGCGUUGUCCGGAAUUAUUGGGCGUAAAGCGCGCGCAGGUGGUUUAAUAAGUCUGAUGUGAAAGCCCACGGCUCAACCGUGGAGGGUCAUUGGAAACUGUUAAACUUGAGUGCAGGAGAGAAAAGUGGAAUUCCUAGUGUAGCGGUGAAAUGCGUAGAGAUUAGGAGGAACACCAGUGGCGAAGGCGGCUUUUUGGCCUGUAACUGACACUGAGGCGCGAAAGCGUGGGGAGCAAACAGGAUUAGAUACCCCGGUAGUCCCUGUCUCUUAUAC